CCUACGGGUGGCAGCAGUCGAGAAUCAUUCACAAUGGGGGAAACCCUGAUGGUGCGACGCCGCGUGGGGGAAUGAAGGUCUUCGGAUUGUAAACCCCUGUCAUGUGGGAGCAAAUUAAAAAGAUAGUACCACAAGAGGAAGAGACGGCUAACUCUGUGCGAGCAGCCGCGGUACUACAGAGGUCUCAAGCGUUGUUCGGAAUCACUGGGCGUAAGGCGUGCGUAGGCUGUUCCGUAAGUCGUGGGUGAAAGGCGCGGGCUCAACCCGCGGACGGCACAUGAUACUGCGGGACUAGAGUAAAGGAGAGGGAAGCGGAAUUCUCGGUGUAGCAGUGAAAUGCGUAGAUAUCGAGAGGAACACUCGUGGCGAAGGCGGGUUCCUGGACAUUAACUGACGCUGAGGCACGAAGGCCAGGGGAGCGAAAGGGAUUAGAUACCCGAGUAGUC
This 446-nucleotide ribosomal RNA is filed under the name uncultured bacterium. Its description in RNAcentral is "partial 16S ribosomal RNA". It matches the Rfam family "Bacterial small subunit ribosomal RNA", at positions 338 to 795 of the family's 1533-position model. The record is from RNAcentral.